Onychostoma macrolepis is the source of this 733-nucleotide long non-coding RNA. RefSeq lists it as uncharacterized. NCBI's taxonomy places the organism in Eukaryota, Metazoa, Chordata, Actinopteri, Cypriniformes, Cyprinidae. The transcript has 3 exons. The record is from RefSeq and is a predicted model, not a curated record.
AGGAUUGCGGUUUCAAAAAUACCAAUCAUCAAACAGCUGUGAAAUCACAACUGGCGUCUUUUAGCUUAAAAAAAGAGUCUUUCCCAGAUUUAUAUCCGAGUACAAAAGAAAAGCGAGCAAAAAGAGUGUGAAUCAGACAACACUGCUCCUAAAAGUCACAGCGAGCGUGGAGGACUCCAUAUCCCAGCAGCAGAAGCCUGUUCCACCACAUUAAUCCAGAAUUUUUAACUCCUUGAACACACAUCCUCACAGCACUUGAGAGAGGAGGAGAUCUUCACGCGUCUUUGUUCAGCGCUGGAAAAACCACUGCUCUAUUUGUUGGCUGUGUGGAAGUGUCAGAUUCUUGACUCAUGGAGACGGUGUGGGAACCGUCCCAGGUAAAUCAUACUGGGCACCUGAGGACACUUGAGAACCAGCUCCCGCUGUCCCUGCUGGAGAGGGAGUACACAAUUGCAUCUGGUCUUGGUUUCCAUUCGGUAACAUGGGUUCUUGAUUGCAAUGUAGUGGAUUGAAUGGGGGUAUAAGGAUAAUUAGACACCGGCCAGGCCAGUUUAUUCAGACUGGAGUGGCUGGCAACAUCCUAAACAUCAAUGUCCACAAAGGUUGAUGAUGGGUGUAAAGCAUCUGCUGUUAUGUACUGUGUAGUAAAGAUAAGGUAAUUGUAUAUGUUGCCAAUACAUGAAAUGAAAAACAAAUAAACAAUUAUUCACUUCACAAUAAUAUCAAUCACAUA